UUGGAGGGCAAGUCUGGUGCCCGCAGCCGCGGUAAUUCCAGCUCCAAUAGCGUAUAUUAAAGNUGUUGUAGUUAAAAAGCUCGUAGUUGAAUUUCGGGGUUAGUAGGUUGGUCAUGCCUCUGGUAUGUACUGGUCUCACUGAUUCCUCCUUCCUGAUGAGCCGUAAUGCCAUUAAUUUGGUGUUGCGGGGAAUUUGGACUGUUACUUUGAAAAAAUUAGAGUGUUUAAAGCAAGCUAACGCUUGAAUACAUUAGCAUGGAAUAAUGAAAUAGGACGUUCGAUCCUAUUUUGUUGGUUUCUAGGAUUGACGUAAUGAUUAAUAGGGAUAGUUGGGGGCAUUAGUAUUCAAUUGUCAGAGGUGAAAUUCUUGGAUUUAUUGAAGACUAACUACUGCGAAAGCAUUUGCCAAGGAUGUUUUCAUUAAUCAAGAACGAAAGUUAGGGGAUCGAAGACGAUCAGAUACCGUCGUAGUCUUAACCAUAAACUAUGCCGACUAGGGAUCGGAUGAUGUUAAUUUUUUAAUGACUCAUUCGGCGCCUUACGGGAAAC
RNAcentral lists this ribosomal RNA (549 nucleotides) under uncultured Glomus. RNAcentral describes it as "SSU rRNA". It matches the Rfam family "Eukaryotic small subunit ribosomal RNA", at positions 548 to 1098 of the family's 1831-position model. Lineage: Eukaryota; Fungi; Glomeromycota; Glomeromycetes; Glomerales; Glomeraceae. The record is from RNAcentral.